This 571-nucleotide ribosomal RNA is filed under the name uncultured bacterium. RNAcentral's name for it is "partial 16S ribosomal RNA". It matches the Rfam family "Bacterial small subunit ribosomal RNA", at positions 355 to 919 of the family's 1533-position model. The record is from RNAcentral.
UGGGGAAUUUUGGACAAUGGGCGAAAGCCUGAUCCAGCAAUGCCGCGUGUGUGAAGAAGGCCUUCGGGUUGUAAAGCACUUUUGUCCGGAAAGAAAUCCUUGGCUCUAAUACAGUCGGGGGAUGACGGUACCGGAAGAAUAAGCACCGGCUAACUACGUGCCAGCAGCCGCGGUAAUACGUAGGGUGCAAGCGUUAAUCGGAAUUACUGGGCGUAAAGCGUGCGCAGGCGGUUUGCUAAGACCGAUGUGAAAUCCCCGGGCUCAACCUGGGAACUGCAUUGGUGACUGGCAGGCUAGAGUAUGGCAGAGGGGGGUAGAAUUCCACGUGUAGCAGUGAAAUGCGUAGAGAUGUGGAGGAAUACCGAUGGCGAAGGCAGCCCCCUGGGUCAAUACUGACGCUCAUGCACGAAAGCGUGGGGAGCAAACAGGAUUAGAUACCCUGGUAGUCCACGCCCUAAACGAUGUCAACUAGUUGUUGGGGAUUCAUUUCCUUAGUAACGUAGCUAACGCGUGAAGUUGACCGCCUGGGGAGUACGGUCGCAAGAUUAAAACUCAAAUGAAUUGACGGGGU